RNAcentral lists this ribosomal RNA (505 nucleotides) under uncultured bacterium. RNAcentral's name for it is "partial 16S ribosomal RNA". It matches the Rfam family "Bacterial small subunit ribosomal RNA", at positions 28 to 507 of the family's 1533-position model. The record is from RNAcentral.
GACGAACGCUGGCGGCGUGCCUAAUACAUGCAAGUAGAACGCACAGUUUAUACCGUAGCUUGCUACACCAUAGACUGUGAGUUGCGAACGGGUGAGUAACGCGUAGGUAACCUGCCUGGUAGCGGGGGAUAACUAUUGGAAACGAUAGCUAAUACCGCAUAAUAUUAAUUAUUGCAUGAUAAUUAAUUGAAAGGUGCAAUUGCACCACUACCAGAUGGACCUGCGUUGUAUUAGCUAGUAGGUGAGGUAACGGCUCACCUAGGCGACGAUACAUAGCCGAACUGAGAGGGUGAUCGGCCACACUGGGACUGAGACACGGCCCAGACGCCUACGGGAGGCAGCAGUAGGGAAUCUUCGGCAAUGGACGAAAGUCUGACCGAGCAACGCCGCGUGAGUGAAGAAGGUUUUCGGAUCGUAAAGCUCUGUUGUAAGAGAAGAACGGGUGUGAGAGUGGAAAGUUCACACUGUGACGGUAUCUUACCAGAAAGGGACGGCUAACUACGUG